This 1352-nucleotide ribosomal RNA is filed under the name Escherichia coli. RNAcentral's name for it is "partial 23S ribosomal RNA". It matches the Rfam family "Bacterial large subunit ribosomal RNA", at positions 390 to 1744 of the family's 2925-position model. Lineage: Bacteria; Pseudomonadati; Pseudomonadota; Gammaproteobacteria; Enterobacterales; Enterobacteriaceae. The record is from RNAcentral.
GCACAUGCUGUGAGCUCGAUGAGUAGGGCGGGACACGUGGUAUCCUGUCUGAAUAUGGGGGGACCAUCCUCCAAGGCUAAAUACUCCUGACUGACCGAUAGUGAACCAGUACCGUGAGGGAAAGGCGAAAAGAACCCCGGCGAGGGGAGUGAAAAAGAACCUGAAACCGUGUACGUACAAGCAGUGGGAGCACGCUUAGGCGUGUGACUGCGUACCUUUUGUAUAAUGGGUCAGCGACUUAUAUUCUGUAGCAAGGUUAACCGAAUAGGGGAGCCGAAGGGAAACCGAGUCUUAACUGGGCGUUAAGUUGCAGGGUAUAGACCCGAAACCCGGUGAUCUAGCCAUGGGCAGGUUGAAGGUUGGGUAACACUAACUGGAGGACCGAACCGACUAAUGUUGAAAAAUUAGCGGAUGACUUGUGGCUGGGGGUGAAAGGCCAAUCAAACCGGGAGAUAGCUGGUUCUCCCCGAAAGCUAUUUAGGUAGCGCCUCGUGAAUUCAUCUCCGGGGGUAGAGCACUGUUUCGGCAAGGGGGUCAUCCCGACUUACCAACCCGAUGCAAACUGCGAAUACCGGAGAAUGUUAUCACGGGAGACACACGGCGGGUGCUAACGUCCGUCGUGAAGAGGGAAACAACCCAGACCGCCAGCUAAGGUCCCAAAGUCAUGGUUAAGUGGGAAACGAUGUGGGAAGGCCCAGACAGCCAGGAUGUUGGCUUAGAAGCAGCCAUCAUUUAAAGAAAGCGUAAUAGCUCACUGGUCGAGUCGGCCUGCGCGGAAGAUGUAACGGGGCUAAACCAUGCACCGAAGCUGCGGCAGCGACGCUGAUGCGUUGUUGGGUAGGGGAGCGUUCUGUAAGCCUGCGAAGGUGUGCUGUGAGGCAUGCUGGAGGUAUCAGAAGUGCGAAUGCUGACAUAAGUAACGAUAAAGCGGGUGAAAAGCCCGCUCGCCGGAAGACCAAGGGUUCCUGUCCAACGUUAAUCGGGGCAGGGUGAGUCGACCCCUAAGGCGAGGCCGAAAGGCGUAGUCGAUGGGAAACAGGUUAAUAUUCCUGUACUUGGUGUUACUGCGAAGGGGGGACGGAGAAGGCUAUGUUGGCCGGGCGACGGUUGUCCCGGUUUAAGCGUGUAGGCUGGUUUUCCAGGCAAAUCCGGAAAAUCAAGGCUGAGGCGUGAUGACGAGGCACUACGGUGCUGAAGCAACAAAUGCCCUGCUUCCAGGAAAAGCCUCUAAGCAUCAGGUAACAUCAAAUCGUACCCCAAACCGACACAGGUGGUCAGGUAGAGAAUACCAAGGCGCUUGAGAGAACUCGGGUGAAGGAACUAGGCAAAAUGGUGCCGUAACUUCGGGAGAA